This 65-nucleotide transfer RNA is filed under the name Sphaerodactylus townsendi. RNAcentral's name for it is "tRNA-Ala". The record is from RNAcentral. Lineage: Eukaryota; Metazoa; Chordata; Lepidosauria; Squamata; Sphaerodactylidae.
GGCUCAGUGGUAGAGCAUCUGGUUGGCAUGCAGAAGGUCCCAGGUUCAAUCCCCAACAUCUCACA